RNAcentral lists this ribosomal RNA (468 nucleotides) under uncultured bacterium. RNAcentral's name for it is "partial 16S ribosomal RNA". It matches the Rfam family "Bacterial small subunit ribosomal RNA", at positions 28 to 507 of the family's 1533-position model. The record is from RNAcentral.
GACGAACGCUGGCGGCGUGCUUAACACAUGCAAGUCGAACGGAAAGGCCCUGCUUUUGUGGGGUGCUCGAGUGGCGAACGGGUGAGUAACACGUGAGUAACCUGCCCUUGACUUUGGGAUAACUUCAGGAAACUGGGGCUAAUACCGGAUAGGAGCUCCUGCUGCAUGGUGGGGGUUGGAAAGUUUCGGCGGUUGGGGAUGGACUCGCGGCUUAUCAGCUUGUUGGUGGGGUAGUGGCUUACCAAGGCUUUGACGGGUAGCCGGCCUGAGAGGGUGACCGGCCACAUUGGGAAUGGGGAACGGCCCAGGCUCCUACGGGAGGCAGCAGUGGGGAAUAUUGCACAAUGGGCGGAAGCCUGAUGCAGCAACGCCGCGUGCGGGAUGACGGCCUUCGGGUUGUAAACCGCUUUCGCCUGUGACGAAGCGUGAGUGACGGUAAUGGGUAAAGAAGCACCGGCUAACUACGUG